GGUCUGCUUAACACAUGCAAGUCGACCGGGCUCUUCUAAGCUAGUGGCGGACGGGUGAGUAACGCGUGAGGAUCUGCCUUCGGAGGGGGAUAACGACUGGAAACGUCGCGGGUCCGCAUAUCCUACGGGUAAAGAUUUAUCGCCUGGAGAUGAACUCGCGUCAGAUUAGCUAGUUGGUGGGGUAAGAGCCUACCAAUGCGACGAUCUGUAGCUGGUCUGAGAGGAUGAUCAGCCACACUGNGACUGAGACACGGCCCAGACUCCUACGGGAGGCAGCAGUGGGGAAUUUUCCGCGGUGGGCGCAAGCCUGACGGAGCAAGACCGCGUGCGGGAUGACGGCCUAAUGGUUGUAAACCGCUUUUCUCUGGGAAGAUGAUGACGGUACCAGAGGAAUCAGCCUCGGCUAACUCCGUGCCAGCAGCCGCGGUAAUACGGAGGAGGCAAACGUUAUCCGGAAUUAUUGGGCGUAAAGCGUCCGUAGGUGGUUAUUCAAGUCUGCUGUCAAAGCGUGGGGCUUAACUCCAUAGAGGCAGUGGAAACUGGAUGACUUGAGUGCGGUAGGGGUCGAGGGAAUUCCCAGUGUAGCGGUGAAAUGCGUAGAUAUUGGGAAGAACACCAGUGGCGAAAGCGCUCGACUGGGCCUGCACUGACACUGAGGGACGAAAGCUAGGGGAGCGAACGGGAUUAGAUACCCCUGUAGUC
RNAcentral lists this ribosomal RNA (702 nucleotides) under uncultured organism. RNAcentral's name for it is "bacterial SSU rRNA". It matches the Rfam family "Bacterial small subunit ribosomal RNA", at positions 41 to 795 of the family's 1533-position model. The record is from RNAcentral.